Non-coding RNA from Pelobates cultripes (western spadefoot toad), 887 nucleotides. NCBI's taxonomy places the organism in Eukaryota, Metazoa, Chordata, Amphibia, Anura, Pelobatidae. The record is from the annotation of a GenBank genome assembly.
GCGACACUCCCGCACACCGCAAAUGUUUUUUUGCUAAAUAAAUACAGCCUAUAGUUUCCUUUUAAACAGAUUAUAGAACUGGAUUGUUACUUAAAUUAUGAAUAGGUCUAUGUUCUUGGCAAUGAUGUAUCUUUGACACCGUCUAAAAGAAAAUAAUAGCAAAACCUUUCUUAGAGUACCUGCUGCUAUUUUACCAUCCUAGGGUGAGGCCAUUAAAAUUGAUUUUUUACAUUUGAAUGCACUUCCUAUUGUUCAGAGAACUCUCCGAGCACCAUAACCAACAUCUACAGCGUGCUGCAGUGGUUAUGGAGCCAGGAAUGUCCAGACCCUUCCCCAUUUUAGCUCAGAUAGUCAGCUUCUGGCACUUCGUCGGAAGUAGUGAAGGAAGGGAGCAGAGCCUGGUGGACUCCAGGUAAGAAGUCAUGCCAUUCUAAAAUGUUUGACUACUUACAAUGAAGGGUGUAAGGGCGCUCUUUGCACCAUAAUCACUACAACGCCACACUGGUUAUGGUACUUGGAGUGUUCCUUUAUUAUUGAAGACUCCCUAUAAUAGCAGUGAAGUCAGUAGGACAGAAAGCAAUUUAAAAGAAUAGUUAAACACAAUGCCUUUUGCUUGCAUAGCGUUAAUGGUGUCCUCUUCAACCUAUUGUUCCUGUAAGUUUUCUUGUGGUUGUCCUAUUUAUAGUCCCCCCCCACCCCCUCUUAUAUUGUAAAGCUCUAUGCAAUCUGUUGGCACUAUAUAAAUGGCGAUAAUAAUAAUAAUAAUAAUAAUAAUAAUAAGACAAGCUAGGGAGCUGCAUACUAAACAACCUUGAAAUUGCCCUUAACCUCAGUCAUGGGUAACCUAAAGACUUUCAGAGCAUCAUGGGACAUCUGGUCAAACAUUG